AGAGGCGGACUUAGAGGGAGGGUCAAGGUGCUCGCAUCACCUUUUUGUUGGGAAAAUUUGGUUGAUUGUAUAGGGAAUCAAUGAAGAAUGACUGUAGCGGGCCUACUCUUAGGUAGCCAGUCCCCCAUCCCUUUAUGAAAAUCUCUGAAUACGCUACUGGACCACUUUUGCCUAUAUUUACCAUGGGUUGGCUAUUUAUGUAAAGAAGGACAAGUUAAAAUAGAUGGUAUACAUGUUCAUAUAAGAUUUUUCAAGCUACAAAUCCUUACAUUUCUACGGUAUAUGACAUGUGUUAUUGAAGUUAGUCGAAGAAGUUAUGUUAAGCCAAACAUAUCAAUAAGGGAUCUACCAUUUGAUUUUUAUAAGGGGGAUGAAAUUUGGCCGAAAAGGCAGGACAGGAGAUUUGAGUAAAAAAAGGCCGGAUGAACAUCUUGGCCAAACAAAAAGGCAAGAUGACAAUUUAUGUUAAAAUAAUCAGGAUGAAAAAAGCAGGACCGAAUAGAGUAAAAAUAAAAACGCAGGAUACAGAUUUCAACAUAAAAAAAUGCAGGACAAAAUUAUUCAUCCUAGCCUAUUUAUUUACCCAUUUUAUAGAAACAGGCAGAUAUAUACAGAGUUUGGCCAAUUUAAUUCAUCCUAUUGUUGAAGAAUUCAUGUUUGUGUUGUUGGUUUGCUGUCUCAUUUAUGUAUUUCCCAC
Molecule: long non-coding RNA, 697 nt
Filed under: Mytilus galloprovincialis (Mediterranean mussel)
Lineage: Eukaryota; Metazoa; Mollusca; Bivalvia; Mytilida; Mytilidae
Source: RNAcentral